GAAUGUAAGAGUAUGAUUGUAUAACAAACAGUGUGAUGAAGAAUGUGGUAUGAUUGUGUCAAAUGGUGGUCUAGGUCUUCAACAUAGUCAUGUUUGACUUUUGAAUAAGUGACAUUUGAAUAAGAGUUUUGAUAUCUUGUAUUUUUUCUUCGAAGAGAAGACAUGUAAGGUCAACAUAAGACAUUAAGGAGCUCUUUCAUUUAAAAAAAAAACAGUCUGAUCAAUGGCAAGAUGGAUUGUAAUGUUUCAUAGUUCGUAGGUCAAUAGAAUGACAUAAUUUUGUAUAUUAGGAUAGAUCAGUCACGUUAUAAUCUUAAUGGGAC
Molecule: long non-coding RNA, 323 nt
Filed under: Brassica napus (rape)
Lineage: Eukaryota; Viridiplantae; Streptophyta; Magnoliopsida; Brassicales; Brassicaceae
Description: long non-coding RNA (BNAP_LNC026952)
Source: RNAcentral